Long non-coding RNA from Andrographis paniculata, 308 nucleotides. RefSeq lists it as uncharacterized. The record is from RefSeq and is a predicted model, not a curated record. The transcript is spliced from 3 exons. NCBI's taxonomy places the organism in Eukaryota, Viridiplantae, Streptophyta, Magnoliopsida, Lamiales, Acanthaceae.
UCUCUCUCUCUUAUUACCACCAUGGCUAACCUCACCUCACCUCACCCCACAUCUUAAAUAGUGGCCCUUUCGUCUCUCCUCUUCUCAUAUCAUCUCAGAUGGCUUAUAGCUUAAUAUCGAUUAAGUACUUCUUGCAGCUCCUUUCCCAUGCGUUAUGAAUGAAAUGAUUCGAGGCUAGCUGUUGAUUUGAUUUAAAAGCAAUCGAAGAUGUCAAAACACUAUUGCUUCAGGUAACCCCUUUUCUUAUGCUCCAUAGAUGUGUGUAUCUAUCUAUGCAUACAUAUAUUAUAUAUACAUAUACAUUCAUU